RNAcentral lists this signal recognition particle RNA (281 nucleotides) under Macaca mulatta (Rhesus monkey). RNAcentral's name for it is "Metazoan signal recognition particle RNA (ENSMMUG00000063867.1)". It matches the Rfam family "Metazoan signal recognition particle RNA". Rfam says of the family: The signal recognition particle (SRP) is a universally conserved ribonucleoprotein. Lineage: Eukaryota; Metazoa; Chordata; Mammalia; Primates; Cercopithecidae. The record is from Rfam by way of RNAcentral.
GCCGGGCGUGGUGGCGGGCGCCUGUAGUCCCAGCUACUCGGGAGGCUGAGGCAGGAGAAUGGUGUGAACCCGGGAGGCGGAGGUUGCAGUGAGCCGAGAUGGUGCCCCUGCACUCCAGCCUGGGCAACAAGAGCAAAAACUCUGUCUCAAAAAAAAAAAAAGAAGAAGAAGAAGAAUAAAAAGACAGAGUCUGGCUCUGUCGCCCAGGCUGGAGUGCAGCGGCAUGAUCUCGGUUCACUGCAACCUCCGCCUCCCGGGUUCAAGUGAUUCUCCUGCCUCAG